AAUUCUAAUUCAUUUUAGGAUAACCCUUUGAACUUAAGCAUAUCAGUAAAAGGAGGAAAAGAAACUAACAAGGAUUUCUUUAGUAGUGGCGAAUGAACAAGAAAGAACUCAUUAUGUAAUCUAUAUUCAUUAUAGAGAUGUUAAAAGUUAUUGUUGUCAUUCAAAUCAUAGAUACAUUAAAUUGUAGUAAAUGAUGACGAUAAAUAAACAAUGUAGAGUACGAUUGCUUGGUAGUGCAAUUGGAAUAUAGAUAGAAUAAAAUAUUCUAAAGUUAAAUAUAAAUGACAU
Molecule: non-coding RNA, 288 nt
Filed under: Nosema bombycis CQ1
Lineage: Eukaryota; Fungi; Microsporidia; Nosematidae
Description: Eukaryotic large subunit ribosomal RNA
Rfam family: Eukaryotic large subunit ribosomal RNA
Source: Rfam by way of RNAcentral